GAUGAACGCUGGCGGCGUGCUUAACACAUGCAAGUCGAACGGAAAGGCUCCUGCUUGCAGGGGUACUCGAGUGGCGAACGGGUGAGUAACACGUGGGUGAUCUGCCCUGCACUUCGGGAUAAGCCUGGGAAACUGGGUCUAAUACCGGAUAUGACCACAUUUUGGAUGGUGUGGUGGAAAGUUUUUCGGUGUGGGAUGAGCUCGCGGCCUAUCAGCUUGUUGGUGGGGUAAUGGCCUACCAAGGCGUCGACGGGUAGCCGGCCUGAGAGGGUGUACGGCCACAUUGGGACUGGGAUACGGCCCAGACUCCUACGGGAGGCAGCAGCGGGGAAUAUUGCACAAUGGGCGGAAGCCUGAUGCAGCGACGCCGCGUGGGGGAUGACGGCCUUCGGGUUGUAAACUCCUUUCGCUAGGGACGAAGCGCAAGUGACGGUACCUGGAGAAGAAGCACCGGCUAACUACGUG
Molecule: ribosomal RNA, 465 nt
Filed under: uncultured bacterium
Lineage: Bacteria
Description: partial 16S ribosomal RNA
Rfam family: Bacterial small subunit ribosomal RNA
Source: RNAcentral